GAUGAACGCUGGCGGCGUGCCUAUUACAUGCAAGUCGAGCGAACAGACGAGGAGCUUGCUCCUCUGACGUUAGCGGCGGACGGGUGAGUAACACGUGGAUAACCUACCUAUAAGACUGGGAUAACUUCGGGAAACCGGAGCUAAUACCGGAUAACAUGUUGAACCGCAUGGUUCAACAGUGAAAGACGGUCUUGCUGUCACUUAUAGAUGGAUCCGCGCCGCAUUAGCUAGUUGGUAAGGUAACGGCUUACCAAGGCAACGAUGCGUAGCCGACCUGAGAGGGUGAUCGGCCACACUGGAACUGAGACACGGUCCAGACUCCUACGGGAGGCAGCAGUAGGGAAUCUUCCGCAAUGGGCGAAAGCCUGACGGAGCAACGCCGCGUGAGUGAUGAAGGUCUUCGGAUCGUAAGACUCUGUUAUUAGGGAAGAACAAAUGUGUAAGUAACUUUGCACGUCUUGACGGUACCUAAUCAGAAAGCCACGGCUAACUACGUG
RNAcentral lists this ribosomal RNA (497 nucleotides) under uncultured bacterium. RNAcentral's name for it is "partial 16S ribosomal RNA". It matches the Rfam family "Bacterial small subunit ribosomal RNA", at positions 28 to 507 of the family's 1533-position model. The record is from RNAcentral.